RNAcentral lists this unclassified non-coding RNA (341 nucleotides) under soil metagenome. RNAcentral describes it as "partial contains 5.8S ribosomal RNA, internal transcribed spacer 2, and large subunit ribosomal RNA". The stretch from base 1 to 120 matches the Rfam family "5.8S ribosomal RNA", at positions 35 to 154 of the family's 154-position model. The record is from RNAcentral.
GAUGAAGAACGUAGCGAAAUGCGAUAAGUAGUGUGAAUUGCAGAAUUCAGUGAAUCAUCGAAUCUUUGAACGCACAUUGCGCCCUUUGGUAUUCCAAAGGGCAUGCCUGUUCGAGCGUCAUUUGUACCCUCAAGCUUUGCUUGGUGUUGGGCGUCUUGUCUCUAGCUUUGCUGGAGACUCGCCUUAAAGUAAUUGGCAGCCGGCCUACUGGUUUCGGAGCGCAGCACAAGUCGCACUCUCUAUCAGCAAAGGUCUAGCAUCCAUUAAGCCCUUUUUUCAACUUUUGACCUCAGAUCAGGUAGGGAUACCCGCUGAACUUAAGCAUAUCAAUAAGCGGAGGA